Lontra canadensis (Northern American river otter) is the source of this 466-nucleotide long non-coding RNA. RefSeq lists it as uncharacterized. The record is from RefSeq and is a predicted model, not a curated record. The transcript is spliced from 3 exons. Lineage: Eukaryota; Metazoa; Chordata; Mammalia; Carnivora; Mustelidae.
UCUGAGAUGGCUCCAGGGAAAGGAAGAGGGAUAGAAGCCCAGGCUCCCUACGUACCUACUUGGCCUUCUCUGACACACCCCACUGAGAAUUGUUGACUAGAAGCCAGAGACAGCUGUCUUCCUGUGAUGCCCUAUGGUGACGCCCACAGGAACUUUCUCCCUUUGGUAUUCAGCCCGCUAAAAGGUGUGAAAGGAUAUGCAUCAUUUAGCAGCCCUGACAUCUAGGAUUUGACUGAAGAAUUUUAUGCACAGAAACAUAUGGAUCCUGAAAGAAACACUUGGAUCCAGCUGAUGCUUUGGUAGUUUUAGCCAAAUGUAGCACCGGACGAUCCCACCCACAUGGUUCUCCCGGUACCUGGAAUCCGAAGGAAAAGCUUGCCGCCGAGGAGCUAGUAGCAGAGAUGAAAUCCACGCCACGCCGCUGUCCUCCAUGACGCCCCAUCUGAAGGCUGGCUCCUCUCUUUUG